ACGCCUUAUACAUGCAAGUCGAACGCAGUAGCAAUACUGAGUGGCAGACGGGUGAGUAUGAUGUGGGAAUCUGCCUUUUGGUUUGGAAUAACUCGGGGAAACUUGAGCUAAUACUGGAUAAGCCCUCACGGGGAAAGCUUUAUGCGCCAAAAGAUGAGCCCGCACUUGAUUAGCUAGUUGGUGAGGUAAAAGCUCACCAAGGCAACGAUCAAUAGCUGUUCUUAGAGGAAGACCAGCCACAUUGGGACUGAGACACGGCCCAGACUCCUACGGGAGGCAGCAGUAAGGAAUCUUGCACAAUGGAGGAAACUCUGAUGCAGCGAUGCCGCGUGAGUGAAGAAGGCCUUUGGGUUGUAAAACUCUUUCGUUGGGGAAGAAAAUGACUGUACCCAAAUAAGAAGGUCCGGCUAACUUCGUGCCAGCAGCCGCGGUAAUACGAAGGGACCUAGCGUAGUUCGGAAUUACUGGGCUUAAAGAGCUCGUAGGUGGUUGAAAAAGUUGAUGGUGAAAUCCCAAGGCUCAACCUUGGAACUGCCAUCAAAACUUUUUAGCUAGAGUGUGAUAGAGGAAAGUGGAAUUUCUAGUGUAGAGGUGAAAUUCGUAGAUAUUAGAAAGAACAUCAAAAGCGAAGGCAACUUUCUGGAUCACUACUGACACUGAGGAGCGAAAGCAUGGGUAGCGAAGAGGAUUAGAUACCCUCGUAGUCCAUGCUGUAAACGAUGUGUGCUAGACGUUGGAAAUUUAAUUUUCAGUGUCGCAGCAAAAGCGUUAAGCACACCGCCUGGGGAGUAC
RNAcentral lists this ribosomal RNA (792 nucleotides) under uncultured Pelagibacteraceae bacterium. RNAcentral's name for it is "bacterial SSU rRNA". It matches the Rfam family "Bacterial small subunit ribosomal RNA", at positions 44 to 883 of the family's 1533-position model. Lineage: Bacteria; Pseudomonadati; Pseudomonadota; Alphaproteobacteria; Candidatus Pelagibacterales; Candidatus Pelagibacteraceae. The record is from RNAcentral.